Molecule: ribosomal RNA, 865 nt
Filed under: Chryseobacterium sp. MI 1.2 V46
Lineage: Bacteria; Pseudomonadati; Bacteroidota; Flavobacteriia; Flavobacteriales; Weeksellaceae
Description: bacterial SSU rRNA
Rfam family: Bacterial small subunit ribosomal RNA
Source: RNAcentral
AUGUGAGUUUGAUCCUGGCUCAGGAUGAACGCUAGCGGGAGGCCUAACACAUGCAAGCCGAGCGGUAUUUAUUCUUCGGAAUAGAGAGAGCGGCGUACGGGUGCGUAACACGUGUGCAACCUACCUUUAUCAGGGGAAUAGCCUUUCGAAAGGAAGAUUAAUACUCCAUAAUAUAUUAUAUGGCAUCAUUUAAUAUUGAAAACUCCGGUGGAUAGAGAUGGGCACGCGCAAGAUUAGAUAGUUGGUGAGGUAACGGCUCACCAAGUCAAUGAUCUUUAGGGGUCCUGAGAGGGAGAUCCCCCACACUGGUACUGAGACACGGACCAGACUCCUACGGGAGGCAGCAGUGAGGAAUAUUGGACAAUGGGUGAAAGCCUGAUCCAGCCAUCCCGCGUGAAGGAUGACGGUCCUAUGGAUUGUAAACUUCUUUUGUAUAGGGAUAAACCUAGAUACGUGUAUCUAGCUGAAGGUACUAUACGAAUAAGCACCGGCUAACUCCGUGCCAGCAGCCGCGGUAAUACGGAGGGUGCAAGCGUUAUCCGGAUUUAUUGGGUUUAAAGGGUCCGUAGGCGGACCGAUAAGUCAGUGGUGAAAUCUCAUAGCUUAACUAUGAAACUGCCAUUGAUACUGUCGGUCUUGAGUAAAUUAGAGGUAGCUGGAAUAAGUAGUGUAGCGGUGAAAUGCAUAGAUAUUACUUAGAACACCAAUUGCGAAGGCAGGUUACCAUGAUUUAACUGACGCUGAGGGACGAAAGCGUGGGGAGCGAACAGGAUUAGAUACCCUGGUAGUCCACGCCGUAAACGAUGCUAACUCGUUUUUGGGGCGCAAGCUUCAGAGACCAAGCGAAAGUGAUAAGUUAGCCACC